RNAcentral lists this ribosomal RNA (239 nucleotides) under Meloidogyne sp. Pak.S.R.9. RNAcentral's name for it is "partial 18S ribosomal RNA". It matches the Rfam family "Eukaryotic small subunit ribosomal RNA", at positions 1051 to 1780 of the family's 1831-position model. The record is from RNAcentral. Lineage: Eukaryota; Metazoa; Nematoda; Chromadorea; Rhabditida; Meloidogynidae.
GUUCCAACGCAGAUAUUGUAUGGCCCGUGAGAGGUGAAUUCUUGGUGGGGAGCUUCCCGGAAACGAAAGUCUUCCGGCAAGGGGGAAGUAUGGUUGCAAAGCUGAAACUUAAAGGAAUUGAUAGGAAUCGCCCGUCGCUGCCCGGGACUGAGCCAUUUCGAGAAAUUUGGGGACCGUUGAUUUAAUUUUUCUAAAUUACCCUCGAUAAGAAACCAAUUUAAUCGCAGUGGCUUGAACCA